Molecule: non-coding RNA, 9753 nt
Organism: Xyrichtys novacula (pearly razorfish)
Lineage: Eukaryota; Metazoa; Chordata; Actinopteri; Labriformes; Labridae
Source: the annotation of a GenBank genome assembly
GCCCUAUCUCACAAUGAUAAAGAAUCCUUCAAAAAAUUCCUGGAUCCAGAAGGCGAUCCGGAUCACCACCAAAAUGUAAUGGGAUCCUCCUGGGGCUGAGACGCAUCUCUGGUGAAAAUUUCAGGUCAAUCCGUCUGUAACUUUCUCCGUAAAGUUGCUAACAAACAAACAAACCAACGCUACCGAAAACAUAACCUCCAUAACAGAAGACUUUUCUUCACUUCUGAGAGAACUUCCAUCGUGUAUUUGUCUAAUUCUUGUGAAAAUAUCUCUUGACUCUUACACAUCUUUGAAAGUGGCGGCUAAUUCAAAGUUUCUUGACAUAAAUUUUGACAUCUUAAGUCACAAAUCAGAUACGAUUUGAAUUUGAAUUGAUUGAUAGUCUGAAAAAGUGACUGAAGAUACAAAAUCCCAUGCCUAAGGGUGCAAGACCAUUUUUAGAGUUGCCAAAUAUCAUGAUCUUUACAGUUUUACAUCAUGGCUAUUUAAAUGGGAAGACUUCAGACUUUGUUUUCUGCUACAAAAAUAAGCACAAAGUUAAUUUCUGGGAUGUUUCUCAGUGAGAAGGUGCAUUUACCUAAGGUGAUCAUUCAGUACGGUGGCCCCAGAGGUCAGUUGCAUAAAUAUUUCAACCAAAAAAAUUUUGAUGAACCACAAAAUUAUUUCCCAUCUUUUUGCAGCAUGACAUAAUAAUACAGUUGACCUCCAUGGCCACUGUAGUUCACGCCUCUGUGGUCGACUCCAAACCUGCUGAAAAAGAAAACUGUAAAACUGUUUCAUAUUAUUGCAAAUUGAGAAAGUGAUUCACAGUAAAAGAAAAACAGCUAUGGUCUUCUUUUCUUUAUUGUCCACUAGAGAGCGCUCUACAUCCACUCUAAAACACAGGGCGGCCUCUGAAACCUUGAAAAGUUCAGUUGCUCCUGUUGGUGAACAAACUGAGUUCAUCACCUGCAGAUUGAUGUUUUCACACCCCCACUGAGCAUGUGCAGAACUAUCUGAAGCUUUUGUAUUUAUCUGUAUUUGUAUUGGCGUUUGUGCGACAGGCUUUAAACUUAGUUAAACGUGUUUGUGUGACAUAAGCUGGAGGAGUGAGUUUGAUAUUUUGGACGUUACAUGGUUAAUUGCUCCUGAUCCAAAUCUGGUUAGAAAGCUCUCAGAUUUUCUGUCUCCUUCAUCUGGAAAAAUCUGCAGUCUGGUGUCAGAUUGAAAAUCGCACAUCAACCUGAAUGACUUUAAAAUUUCGCUUUUAAAAUCUUUGAUUUAAUUCAGGCUUUGUGUGGGAUGUUUUUUCAAUCCUUGAAUGAGGUCAGUUUGAUUUUUAUAAAAACGUUGGACCUGGAAAAAUGAAGGUUAAAGAAAAAUAUGAGACAGAUUGAUGCACAGCACAUCUUUAUUUGGUCUGGAUUCAAUUUCUGACUUUAAUGCUCUUUUAAUUCUGUCAAAUACAAUUAAAAUUUCUUGUGAUUUUCGCUCUUUUUUACACGAUUCUGUUUUUAAGUUUCAAUAUGAGAUGUAAUCAGUUCAUUAAGCCUAUAUCCCUUUGAUUCUCCUCUUAUAAGCCCCCCCAACAAUCUUUUAAUGUGUUUAAAUAAUUUCACUCAUUUUAAUCUCACUGCCUCACAUCUUUUUUUUUCAUCACUUUUUAUUUCCAAUAAUGAUAUCUUAUUUUUCAAAACUCUUUUUUAUUGGCUUUUUUUCCUCUUUAUUUACUAUGAUUCAUGAUUUAACUCCAUUACUGCUAAAAUAAUCAUCUAUUUCAUGACUUUAUUUGCAUUUCUUUUCAUUGACUUCUGGUUUUGUUUGAACUUUCUCGUCUUUCCUCUGUCUCGCCUCACCUUUUUAAAUCAUGAGUCCCUGCCUUUAUUCCAUCAAUCAAAGCACUUAGUUAAUAUUUGUUUCUGGAGGUGCUAAAUGGAAAAAUGUAGAACUAUUUAUAAGCAAAGUAUUCAUAGCAUGAAGAUGCGUUGAGAUCAGUUGUAAUGUUAAUGUUCAGUUUUUAAUUUUUAAUGUGAUAUAGGAUCUUGGAAGUUUGCUGAAGACUUUGCCGGUUUUUUUUUCUCGCUACAAACAAGUCCAAUUUGAUUUUUAUUUCCUAAUACCUAAAAUUACACAUUAAUUUGGCUGAAUGUGGCUCGCAUGUUUUACAUCCUUUUGGACCUUCAGGGCCACCAUGUGCUGUAUAAAGAUAGGAACAGACUGUUACUUCGAAUGUGGAGCCUUGGAUUUGAAAAGCUUUAAAUAUCUCUGCUCUGACAAAUAUUCUCGGUUUAUUGACUCCAUACAAACCUGUUUGAGUUGCCUCUUAUCAGAGUGAUUUUGUCCAAGUAUUCUCUCGCUGAAAAAAAUCACAUAAUCUCAUUUAAUUUUUGGAUUACACACUCAAAUCCCAUCCUGAGUCUUCUGAAUUUGCUUUCUUUCUGUUUUGAGUCUUUCCAUUGUUGCACUUUGAGGAAAUUGCUGUAAAAAAAUGAGUCAUCUGCUGUUUAAAAAGAUUGAUAUCUGGUUUUUGUUAGAGUCAAGUGCACUGGGGGAAAUGUUGGGCUGAAUUGAUGUUGUUACCUGUUGAAUAUCAGCUGUAAUCUUCAGAGCAGAGACCUAACAGUGUGUGUGUUCUUCUGUAGAUGUUUGAAUACAGGAAAGAAACCUGUUGAGAGCCCAAACAAGCAGAUCUACUGUACGCUCAAAUCAAACACGGCAGUACAGAGAUGGUUUCAGAAAUAAAAGCUGCAGACAUAAGUGCGUGCGGUGUUCAGAAGCGCUUUCAGAGUGAGCACAGGACCGGUGGGAUAUGAGAGCCUUCCCAUGGACUGAAUUGCCUCAAAGUGCCAGGCUGCUAUCAAAGCGCAUUAAUGUGAUGGAUAUCCGGCGUUCUGCAUUCAUUCUCCAUGCAGUGAAUGUGGGAGCUGACAAACACAGCGCUGUAAGAGGGCCUGCAGCUCUGAGCAGCUCUCUACCUCUAAAGCAGAGACAAAUAUAGAUGCGGCUCAAGAGCGUUUUAUGUAAAACACAAACAGACGUUUUUCUUUUAACCCAAUUUCUGUGAUUUCCUCUGAGAGAGCAGCUCGGUGCUCUUCAGUCCAUGUGAUCGACAACAGGGGAGUGCUACUCGCCCUCAGGCAGGGAGGAAAGAGUUCAUUUAACUUUAUCUUAUUCAUUUAUUUUGUUGCUUUAUUUCCCGAUAAAAGAUGAUUUUUUCUUGCGAUCCCUGCUAGCUGAUUUUGCCAAAAAGAAAAAAAAAAAAGGAAAUUCUAAAAUCUACCUGGCACAUCUGGUGCAUCUUCAACUCUUUCUGUUCUGUAGGAGGUCUCAGAGUGUCUUUUACCGCCAAAUGAACAUCUGCAAAUUCAGUUAUUUAUACCAGAAAACGUUGGAUUGGAUCAGAUUAGUUAAGCUGCAAAAGAAACAUGUGGCUCAACUGUAAAAAGAAAUCCGACCACAAACCAAAACAAGUGCUUCGUAAAAUCGAACAAGACUGGACAACGCUCUUUAACAUGUACAACAAUUAAACAUCAUAGAUUUGAUUUAGAAAUAACCCGAAUUCAAAUGUUUCUUAAAAAACAAAGCAAAGUGGGGAAAUAUGAAGACCAAGUUGGAAUGAGGUGGAAGUUUUAGAAACAAAAAUAGGCAGAAAUGCAUUACAGUAGAAGAUAAGACAUGUUAGAGACACUUCCACUAACUGGAGAGGUUUGCAUGAGGUGAAAUGAAGCGGUAAUCGAUACUGGCGCAGAAAAAGAUGCAGGGUUAGAAAUCUGAAUGCAGCUCCGUGACAUUUUUAUCACUGAAGGUCCACAUAAUUCAACCCCGUUCCUCCAGUUAAUGAGAGAAAACCUGUAAAUUAGCAUGAACUUCAAACUCCUUUCUGCUUCUCACCCUUCUAGAAAACCACUUUCCAUGAAUUUUCCAGACUUUACCUGAAGCAUUCUCUCAUUGGUCAUGGUGUUUUUGUGCAGAAAAUCAUCUUCCAUGAAUUUUCCAGACUUUACCUGAAGCAUUCUUGCAUGGGUCAUGGUGGUUUUGUGCAGAAAACCACUUUCCAUGAAUUUUCCAGACUUUACCUGAAGCAUUCUUGCAUGGGUCAUGGUGGUUUUGUGCAGAAAACCACUUUUCCAUGAAUUUUUCAGACUUUACCUGAUACAUUCUCGCAUUGGUCAUGGUGCUUUUUGUGCAGAAAAUCACCUUCCAUGAAUUUUCCAGACUUUACCUGAAGAAUUCUCACAUUGGUCAUUGUGUUUUUGUGCAGAAAACCACUUUCCAUGAAUUUUCCAGACUUUACCUGAAGCAUUCUUGCAUUGGUCAUGGUGAUUUUGUGCAGAAAAUUACCAAAAAGCUGGCUGGAAAAAGUGCAGGUCCACAUUUAGUUUAUUUGUGCAGCUCAUUCCAAAAACUUUAAAGUGAGGAAACUCCCCAUCUUGUUUACGCUCUUCCAAACACACCUGAUACUGAAAAAAAUUAGCUGUCACAUUUGAUGCUUCAGUCGAUUUCAAUCUCUGUUUUCAGCUUUUUCCAAAAUCUAUAAACGCAGCUCUUAACAUGGACCGAGAGCUUGAUAAGUGAGGGGUUAAAGGAGGUCUGGGCUCUGCAGGGCUUGGGUUAACUGCAGUGUCAAAGUGCCUUUUUGUCGUCUGAGGGGGUGGAAGGCAGCUGUUCCAAAGGGAUGCUUCAAAUCAGUGUUUUUAGGGAGGAAAAGUUGUUUUUGUAACCGAAGCUUUUAAGGCUCCGUCACCCUGAAAAAACAGACAUGUGGUUGUAUAUGUUGCUGUUGUGCGAUCAAAAUGCAUUCUGGGACUUAAAGCAGGCGCUAACCACAACAGAAAAGCCUCUCCAGCCAUGUAUCAUAGCUGUCUCACAACAAGCCUCGCCUCAAAAUAAUUUCUUAAUCCAUUAAUUGGCGUGGAGCGGCGUGCGGGGCAGGGCUUUUUGUUCAGUAUGUUUUUCAGAGAUGCAUACUAAUCAUAUAAAGUGAUCCUUUGUACUCAGGUUGACAGCAGCGACGAGGGCUUUUAGACGACACACACACACACACACACACAUACAUAUACACUCACACACAUGCAUAGAGGCAUGUGUCUGGGAGCGCCGCUGGCAGAACGAGUGUAUUAUUUUCCCUGAAGAGUGUUAUUUUCCUGUCAAGGCUUGAUGGCAACGUGCCAACAGAUGUGACAGCGAGCGAUCAUCCCUCCUUCAUACAGUACAGGGAGAGAGAGGGAGAGAGAGAGGGGAGGGACAGAUGAGGACGGAGACACUCUCUUAGUAUCCAUCCCUGCUUUUUCAUGCAAAUCGAUCGUAUAUUGAAUCUAAAAAUAUGAUAAAAUGUUUUUGGUGAAAAUUUCAAAGUUUUUCCAAAAGUCUGAAGUUUGAUGAAACAAAUUCAGGCGUCAUGUAUAAAUCUAUUACUUCAUGCACAUUAAGAUCGAAUAGUCGUGGUAAUUUUAGCCAGUAAGAUGUUUUAAAUAGAAAACAUCAUGUUAUGCAGGCCUUCAUAUCAUAUUCCACCAACUUAUUAAUUGGACUGUCUCUCUGUCAAACUAUCCGAGUGAUCCGUCUCAGUGCAUUAGGUGUGUUGGUCUUUGCUUUGAUAUCAUAUUUGUCUACUAAGGUGUGCAGCAGGGCUCUGUAUUAGGUCCGCUUUUGUUUACUAUUUAUGCAAAUUAACUGGGACGAAAUGUAUUAGAUGUAAGAUAUCUUCUCUGAACUCUUGCAGGAUGUGUUUGAUAUUCAGAUUUAACUACUGAAAAACUGCAAACCGAAUACUGCAUUUACUCCUAUUUUAGUGACCCUUCACUGGCUCCCAAUCCGCUUCCACAUUGAUUUUAAAAUUCUUUUAAUCGGUUUUAAAGCCCUCCCUGGUCUUGCCUCUCCUUACCUGUCCGAGCUCCUGUAUCACCACUCUGGCCAGCUACUGUUGAGCUCAAGUCUAGAGGUCACAGGGCCUUUCCAGCGGUCGCCCCAAGACUGUGGAACAGUUAACCUGCUGCCAUAUUAAAGCCCCUCAGACCUUAGGGUCUUUUAAAGCAUCUUUAAAGACCCACAUUUUCUCCCCUGCUUUUAAUAAAUGAGCACACAGGAAUCAGAGACACUGUAGCGUUUAUUCUUUUACUGUCUGUAUUUUAUUCUAUUGUUUUUAAUUUUAUUACCUUCGCCGCCAAGGAGGUUAUGUUUUCGGUAGCGCUGGUUUGUUUGUUUGUUUGUCUGUGAGCAACUUUAUGGAGAAAGCAACAGACGGAUUGACCUGAAAUUUUCACCAGAGGUGCGUCUCAGCCCCAGGAGGAUCCCAUUACAUUUUGGUGGUGAUCCAGACAAAAUUCUGGAUACUGUGAUCCAGAACACACAAAAAUAAGGGUGUGGUUGGAAUUUUCAAUGCUGAAAGAUAACCAAUGGGCGGCACAGUGGUGUAGUGGUUAGCACUGUCACCUCACAGCAAGAAGGUCCUGGGUUUGAAUCCGGGUCAGGGCAUUUCUUGUUUUAGGAACAUUAUGAACAGUGAACAUACCAGUUUAAACACAAAUAAAAGUUAAUAAAAGACACGUAACAGUAAAAGUUUUGGUGUGAAUCACAAUAUAAGGGGGGACAUGAGCUGCUUGGUGGAGGUCUGCGCUCUCCGAGUGAUUUUCUAGUUUUUAUUGAUAUCUAUUUAUUUACUUCUUUUAUUUAUCCCAUGUACAGCACUUUGUUUGACUGCUGUCUUUUUAAGGUCCUUUAUAAAUAAAUUUUGACUUGACUUUACUGUUGUAAAUGCAGAGAAAACCUGGCUCAUGUUGUUUUCAAAGGCAUGUUAUAAAAUGUGCCUGUGGUCAUCACUGCUACUGGAGGAGAACUAGAGGUUGUAAACACUUAAAUAUACCUGGCAUUGUGAAAGAGGACUUAAAUGAGGUGCAAAUUGAAACAAGUUGUGUUCUCAUUGUUGCUCUGUUAUUUUUCAACGUACUGGAUUAUGGUGAUCUCUGGGAUACAGCUUACAAUGCAUCCCUAGUUACCGUUUCUUAUGUGCCACUCUUGGCAGAGUGAGUUAGGAUAUGCCAUGUUUCAUUGCUCAGGAAGUGAACCCCUGAAAAUGGUCUAGUGUCUUAUUGCAGGCAGUGGACGCUUUAUGCACAGGGGUCAGUUUGCUUCAUGCUUUACUGAAGUUUUCUUCUGCACGGGUCAUUGCAAAAGUAAGAACUCGCAGCUAUUAAGUUGCUGCAUGAGUCAUGUGCGGAAAAUUUUGCAUUGCUUUAUGUGGAGUAUUCAUAUCUAAAAAAAAUAUUGAUGUCCGAAAAAAACGCUCUCUGUGUGUAAGGACCUUAAAUCUGUAUUCCUCUCUGAGUGAUCCGAUCUCCUGAGCCAGCACACAGCGCUGCACAGAUCAGCGCUGCUAUUCAGAGCUACCUGAUAAAUAACAGCCUCUGCAGAUCAGAUGAUAGUGUGUGUGUAAUGGCACUGUUCUCUUUUGUAAAGUCUGAAAGUAAACUGAUUCUCUCUGUUAUCUCUCUCUCUUUACCUCCGUCUCUCCCUCUGUGCAUCUUCAUUUACUUCUCCUCUGACUGAAAAACAAAGAAAAAGCAAAACAAAGCAGCAGAAGACAAAAGGGAGAGAAAGAGGAGCGUGUCAUUACGGGUUUUGUUUCUACAACGGCACAAUACCCUGACCACCCUCAAACGAUGGAGAGAGAGAGAUCCUCUGCAUGCAGUCGAGUCGCAGAGAGAGAGAGAGGGAGAGAGAGCGAGAGAGAGAGAGAGAGAGAGAGAGAAAAGGGAAAGGCAGUUUAAUUUAGAUAAUUAUCUCACAAAUUAACCACAAACUCCUUCCCUCUUAAUUACCUGUCUUAGGGAGCGGUGCAGGAAAACAAAAAGCCGAGCCGUGGAGGUCUUUGUUCAGGUCUUCUUGGGGGGUGUAAAUUGGUGGCUCCCCUGCUGAAAGGCCAGAUAAACCUUGGAGGGGACGACCAUUAAAGCAUUUGAUAGGCUAAUGGGGAAUACUGUUAGCAUCCGCGUUUGUAAUUGGACGUCAUAAAUCUGGAACAGGUGAUGGGGGAACAAAAGAGGGGUUUUGUGUGGGUGUCGAGGCCACGGCAUGACUUGUAAAUCCUUUCCCGGUUGAAUGGUGCUAUCUGAUGGUCCACGGAUCUCCAGCAUUGAUUCCUGUGAGUGUGUGGAGCAUUUAUACGUCCUCAGAAACACAAGCAAAUGUUCGUAUGAUCGGGGCUAAUAAAAGGCGCCGGUCUUAUCUGGCUGUCUGCUGGAGUUGAUUCUGUCAGUAGCGAUUAACCUUUCCCUGACUGUGAUGGCUCACCUGAUCAGUUUCAACUCUUGAAACAACUGGAAACCAAAGAUACAGAAGCUUUAAGCUGUUUGACACAAGGUGACAUUUGCACUUACAUUGAUGUGCAAGAAAAUGUAAUGGGGUUGAAUCGUUGACUUGCUGUGACUCUCCUUUGUAACUGAAACAAUCCUGUGUUCAAAACUCAGAACUAAGUAUUUUCAGUUUUUUUCAUUUCUGUCCUGAUUUCGAGAUUGUGUCACUUUGACUACAAGUCGUAGCCUCAGCUUGCUUCUGGUCAUCAUUUUGGACAACAGCAGUACAAACUAUCAGGCAGGAGGAGAGAGGAAAGCAGGGAGAGGAGCAGGAGGAGGCAGGUGUGUGUAUGUGUGUGUCUGAAAAGUCAAGGGACAGAAUGAGCUCAGCGAGAGAGGGGCUGUUGUGACCGUGAGUUCAAAUCAGCUUCUGGUUUAAAAAUAAGGAGAUAUGAUUAGAUAUAGGGCCGGGCGAUAUGGGAAAAAGUUCAUCAAGUUAUAUUUUUUUCAUAUCAGUCAUUUCAUAUCAGUCAUUUCAUAUCGAUACAUAUCACGAUUUAAGUAAAAAUCACAUAUCAAUCUUAAAUUUUCCUUGUUACUCUUAAAUGAAAUUUCACAAUGUUUAUUGGUAGCUUGUCUUUUGCAAUACGAUAAGCUACUGCAUCUUUGAGGUCUUUGUGUCUCUUCGAUGUUUUGUCGUGAGACAUUGCGCUAGAGAAAGCGGACUGAAUGAUCAGCUGUUUUGGCUGCACAGGCGCCAUGGGGGUUUGUAACCUUUUGCAUUGUGCAUGCUCUGCCACACUGCUUCAGGUGGUGAAAAAGAUCUGAGGUUUUCCCCGACUUUGUGAGAACAUGUACUCGACAUAAUUUACAGUGCUCAUUACUCUGCAUCAUGUCCAACCUCAAAAAACCAAAGUACCUCCACACCACCGACGUUUUCAUGCCAGUGUUGUCGAUGAUGUCGUCAUCUCUUGAGCCUUCAUCUGCAUUUCUGUCGGGGGUAGCACUCAUUUCCUUGUUUCUCACUAACAGUGUUGUCGGCUUCACAUGCUAUAGUUGCGUAUAUCUGCAAUUUGCUACUACGCAGUUGUUUGCUACUUGGUUCAAAUUCAGCACAUGAUUGGUUCAGUGUGAAGCGGACCUGGAGCAACUCCCCUUUUCAUUGGCUAUUCGUAUAGUCUACCAAAGCAGAAUGCAGACAAUUGAAAAGGAUAUUGACCAUGUUUUAUAUCAAUAUUGAGGGAAAUUAAUUUUCAAUACUGUUAUCAUUUUAUUGCCCAGCCCUAAUUAGACAUAAAUUAUCAUUCAUAACUCUUAAAGCCCAAGUCUUGAAGCUUUGAAGGAGGUUCUAUCAAAAGACGCACCUCUGGUGAAAAUUUCAGGUCAAUCCAUCUGUAACUUUCUCCGUAAAGUUGUUCACAGACAAACAAACAAACAAACAAACAAACCAACGCUACCAAAAACAUAACCUCCUUGGCGGAGG